This 27746-nucleotide long non-coding RNA is filed under the name Malus domestica (apple). RNAcentral's name for it is "long non-coding RNA (MDOM_LNC005702)". The record is from RNAcentral. Lineage: Eukaryota; Viridiplantae; Streptophyta; Magnoliopsida; Rosales; Rosaceae.
GGCUCAAGGAUUUCAAGGAGCAAAGGGCUUGGAGGUGGUCCAUCCUUGGUCUCAAGUCUAGAUCAAGAGGUAUAAGACUAACCUUCACUUUGUUCUUGAUUCUAUAAAUUGUUUUGAUGCAUUAUAUAUAAACCUAUGAACCUUGAAGGGGAUUUGCAUGACUAUAGCUUUGAUAAUAUGUUAUAAAUGCUUCCGCUACUUUCGUAUAUUAAAUUUGAUUUGGAUAUGCAUGAUAGUCAUUAUGAAAUCCCAUGCUAGAAUCUCAUAGUUUUCCCUUCACUUGAUGGAAUGCUCUUGACAUGAUCAAAGAUCAAGGACCUAACCAUUAGACAUCUAUGAUGCCUCAGGUCAAAUGACUACUUUGCAUAUUGCAACUAACGAGUUCUUGCAUGACAUGUAUGUUCGAACUCUUUUUUGAUAUUUGUUCAAUGUACUCGAUUACCCUUUCGAGCACCUAUGUGUUUGUCUUAGUGUCCAACACUAAAUGACUUGAGACUAGUCAUACUCACGCUUGAGUUGACAUAACACAUACUAACCUUAGCGGAUUGUCAAUGCCCAAUUGGCAAUCCUAUGGCUAGGAACGUUUUAGGAAUGAACAUAAGAGAAAGGUCUCAUUAAUCUAACUUACUUAGAUCACUUCUCUCUCAGAUUAAAAACUUUCCUUGGAUUCCUUUAUUGCUUAAACACAUGAUACAAUAAAUAGUGAUUAACAAUAAGCUUUGCCCUUCAUUAAACAUAUAAUAGUUUAAUACAAUAAGUAUUCCAAAGGUUAUUACAUCAAAUGAGUGGCUUUGUGGGCAUACUUCCAACAAUCUCCCACUUGCACUCAAAGCCACCUUCCCAUGUAUCUAAUACCCAUCUUUUCCAUAUGGCGGUUAAGUUGGAUUUGAGACAUUGGCUUUGUCAGUGGAUCUUCUAUGUUAUCGACUGAGGCAACCUUAAGGAUGUUGACUUUCCCUUCGGCAGCAUAUCUUUUAAUGAUAUUAAAGCGCCUGUCAAAAUGCUUGUUCUUUUGAUGAGCCCUGGGUUCCUUGGCUUGAGCUAUCGCCCCACUAUUAUCACAGUACAAAGUUACUGGUGAUGUAAUGGUUGGAACCACUCUAAAUUCAGUAAUAAACUUCUUCAUCCAGAACGCCUCUUUGCCGGCUUCAGCUAUAGCGACAUAUUCUGCCUCCAUUGUGGAAUCAACAAUUACAUCUUGUUUUUCUAGCUAACAGCUCCACCAUUUAGAAUGAAUACAUAUCCGAAAUUGGAACUUCUAUCAUUGACGUCAGAUUAGAAAUCUGCUUCUGUAUAGGCUUCCACUUGCAACUCUGUUGCUCCUCCAUAAACGAGGAACAUGUCCUUAGUUCUUCUUAAGUACUUAAGGACCGUCUUGACAGCUGCCUAGUGUUUUGAUCUUGGGUUAGAUUGUUAUCGACUGGUAAUGCUCACAGCAUAUGCGAUAUCAGGCCUUGUGCAUAUCAUGGCAUACAUGAGACUUCUUAUGGCAGAAGCAUAAGGAAUAGCACUCAUCUGCCGUAUCUCUUCAGGAGUCUUAGCUCCCAUGGACUUACUAAGGUGAAUUCCAUGUCUCAUAGGAAAAAGACCUUUCUUAGAUUAUUCCAUCUGGAACCUACUUAACACCUUAUCUAUGUAUAUAGAUUGGGAUAAUCCAAUUAAUUUUCUGUAUCUAUCAUGAUAAAGCUUUAUCCCAAGUACAUAAGAUGCAUCUCCCAAAUCUUUCAUGUGGAAGGUUUUGGACAACCACACUUUUACAGAAGAAAGUACUGCAGUGUCAUUUCCGAAUAGUAAUAUGUCAUCUACAUAUAACACUAGGAAUACAACUGCAUCCCCAACGACUUUUUGAUAAACACAAUUGUCGUCUUCAUUUUGAGUAAAACCAAAUGAUUUGAUUUCAGUAUCAAAAUGAAUGUUCCAGCUCUUGGAGGCUUACUUAAGUCCAUAAAUAGACCUCUGAAGCUUGCAUACCUUAGUCCUUUCAGACUUGGACACGAACCUUUGGGUUGAGUCAUAUAAAGCUAUUCCUCUAGGUAGCCAUUAAGAAAGGCCGUCUUCAUGUCCAUUUGCCAUAUCUCACAAUCAUGGUACGCAGUUAUAGCAAGCAAAAUUCGAAUGGACUUAAUCAUGGUUACAGGAGAGAAGGUUUCUUCAUAGUCAAUUCCUUCUCGUUGCCUGUAACCCUUGGCUACUAGUUUAGCCUUAUAAGUCUCCACGUUCCCAUCAGCGCUUAGCUUCCUCUUGAAGACCCAAUUGUUUCCAACAGGUAUUAUACCUUUUGGAGGGUCUACAAGAGUCCAGACAUGAUUUUGAUACAUGGAAUCCAUCUCAGAUUUCAUGGCCCCUUGCCAUCUCUUUGAGUCAAUGUCGGACAUUGCUUCAGUGUAGUCCCUAGGGUCCUCCUUUGUGUCAUUGUCACCUAGAAGGUGCAAUUCCCUAAAGUCAUUAUCUAAGCCAUACCUCUUAGGUGGCUUGCUAACCCUUUCAGAUCUACGUGGAGCUAGGGGUUCAGGAACAGGGUUGUCAACUUGUCGAGUGCUUGUUUGUGGUUCAUCAUUAAUCUUAUUAAUUUCCAUCGUUUUACUUAUAGUUCGUUUGAGAACAAAUUCAUCUUUUAGAAACUUAGCUGUUCUGGCGACAAAGACUUUUUGGUCGUCAGGAUGGUAGAACUCAUAUCCCAUAGUUUCUCUAGGAUAUCCCACAAAAUAGCACCUAACUGAUCUCGCUUCAAGCUUAGUAGGUUCAAGCUUCUUGACAUAUGCUUCACAACCCCAAAUCUUAAUGUGAUUAAGACUUGGCUUUCUUCCAUGCCAUAUCUCAUAGGGCGUCUUUGAAACUGACUUGGAAGGUACUCUAUUAAGCAAGUAAGCUGCUGUAUAUACAGCGUAUCCCCAAAAUGUUACUAGUAGAUCGGCGGAACUCAUCAUAGAAUGAACCAUAUUCAUCAAGGUUCGAUUUCUCCUUUCAGAAACUCCAUUAAGUUGUGGAGUUCCCAGUGGAGUCCACUGUGAUAUUAUUCCACACUAUUUGAGAAAAUCUAGGAACUCGUUACUUAUAUACUCUCCCCCUCGAUCUGAUCUUAGGAUCUUUAUCUAUUUCCCAAUUUGCUUCUCAACUUCAUUCUUGAAUUCUUUGAACCUUUCAAAGGAUUAUGACUUGUACUUCAUAAGAUACACAUAGCCAAACCGAGAGUGAUCGUUGGUGAAUGUGAUGUAGUAGGAGAAGCCUCCACUCGAUGUAGUAGACAUAGGUCCACAUACGUCAGUGUGGAUUAAACCUAGAAUUUCAAUGGCACGCUCUCCUUUCCCAGUGAAUGGAGAUUUGGUCAUCUUCCUUUUUAAGCAACAUUCACAAGUACCCAUUUGGUCAUUACCUAAUGGGCGGAAAUAUCCAUCUUUCGACAUCUUGUGAAUCUUAUCAAGGUUCACAUGUCUAAGUUUAAGAUGCCACAUCUUUUCUCGAUUAACUUCUUUUCUAGCCUUUUUGGGUUUUGAGGUAUUCCCGCUUUCAAUACAAUGCAUCCCCUACUUGUCUCUAGGUGAAAAAGUCCCUCUAUCAUAUUACCAUAAGAGAUAAUACGACCGUUCAACUAUAAAGUGCAACUCAUUUUGUCAAACAAUACUAAGUGCCCAUCUCAUAAAAGCAUAGAGAUAGAAAUCAAAUUCUUUAUACAUGAAGGAAAAUAUAAACAAUUUUUAAGUUCCAAGACUUCCCCAGAGGGUAGUUUAAGCAUGUGGUGUUGGAAAUAUGCCCUGAAAGUCAAUCUUUGGAAGAAACCUUUCAAGACAAUAAAUGGAUGUAUAGAUGACUCUUAUACAUCAAAUGGCAAAGAUAAUAUUUAGGACUAUCUCUAUAAACGAUAUAUGUCCUAAAUGGUGAAUCCAUGGACAAUGGAUCGAUUGAAGAAGUAAUCUAAUGAAGUUAGACUACAGAGACCUUCUUCAUAACCAUCAUGUCCAAAAGGUUCCUGGUCAUAGGAUUGUCGGAGGGAUACUAACAAUGCAUAGACCGGUACAUACUAUGUCCCCUUCAAUUGGAAUGAUGGAAAGUCUCAUCCCAUUCGUGUAGUGACACUAAGACAGGUAUGUAGGUGCUCAUUAAGGGAAUGAGUUCACUGAACACAAUCGAACGAGAGUACUUGCAUGGAGGUCUACUCACAUGUCAAGCAAGUAACUCUAAUGGUUGGAAUAAUGUAAGUAGUCCUUUGACCUGAGGCAUCGUAGUUGUCUUGUGGUUAGGUCCUUGAUCUUUGAUUAUGUCAAAGUCACUCCAUUCACGGGUGUCCACGACAUAGUUGGGGUUAAGCCACUUAGCCAUGGAGGCAAGUAAAUGCGCAACAAGGGAUCUCUAAUCCUCGUUAUGAAAGGAAGAAUACUCUAAGAUAUGAUUCGGGAAUCUUCGGCGGAAGUAUCGAGCGUAAUAAAGGAAAGCGUUCCUAUACGACUCAAUUGAAUCAUAUAACAUGGAAUAAUCACAUUAGGGGUUUGACAUAAUAUAUCCAUACCCUAAUAAUGUGAUUGAGAGUAUUGUAUUAGAGAAUGAUCGAAUUACAUUGUAAUUCCAACUGAAUAGGUUCUCCGAACAAAUUCUACAUUAGCUUGGGUAGCCAUGAUAUAUGGUUAGAUGUCACUCAUGGCUUGUGAGUUCUUCUAGAUGAUUAAAUGUAGUCAUGAAAGAAGAAGGUGAAUUAAAAGUAAGUUUUAAUUCACUAAGUGAUUGGAUUAAAUAUAAUCAAUUGGAUUGGUGCCAAUCACCACACUGCCUUGCUAAUUAGAACCUAAAAUGAUUAUACACCGAUACACUCUUGUAGUGAGUAACUAAUGGAUGAUGGAAAUAAUUAAUUGGAUUAAUUAAGUGUUGUGAUUAAUUAGAAAGUCUAAAGAAAUCAUAAAAGCGAUAAAAGAUCGUUUUGGGCUUAAAGAAAAGUUCGGGUUAAUAUGGGCCCAUUAAGCCCAAACCCAUUGGGCUUUUAUUUAAGCAUAGGAUGACUUGAAAUAAUAAAAGCCCAAAGCCCAAACAACACUAAAGGGGGCCGGCCAAAUAAAGGGAAAGGGAGAGAGAGAGGAAGUCAAGUUGUUGACUUGUUUCUUUGUAUUAUAAAAGGAAGUUUAUAGUGAAAAAUUCAUUAGGGUUUUGUGUGUUGUUUUUCACAAAAGGAAGAAAACAUCUCUCUCUCUAAAACCACACAAGGCCGGCCACCAUAAGGGAGAUUUAGCUAAUCAUCUUCUCUCCCUUUUGGUUAUUCCUCCAUCCAUCUCACUACACUAGUGGGUGUGGAUCUUUAGAGGUCUUCUACUUUGGAGACUAAAGGAGAACCAAGGAGCACUCAUUCUAACAAAGUGGAGAAGGCAAGGAGGGAGGCUAGGCUCAAGGAGUUCAAGGAACAAAGGGCUUGGAGGUGGUCCAUCCUUGGUCUAAAGUCUAGAUCAAGAGGUAUACAACUAAACCUACACUGUGUUCUUCACUAAAAUGUUUUGAUGCAUCUUAUAUAAACCUAUGCAUCUUGAAGGGGAUUUGCAUGACUAUAGCUUUGAUAUUAUGUGAUAACAUGCUUCCGUUGCUUUCGUAUAUAAAUUUUGAAUUGUAUAUGCAUGCUAGUCACUAGAAAUCCCACAUAAAUCUCAUAUUUCCCUUCAAGUGGUAUCAGAGCCAAAGGUUUAUAUUUGAGAAAAUAACGCUUUAGUCAUUUAUAACUCUUGUAAUUACCCAUCUAGUUUGGCCUCUAGAGAAUGAUGCCUCACAAUGAUAUGAUGUUGGCACCAUUGCACUUAGUUAAGUCAUUCCCACCAUGCUAGUUCAUGUAGGGGUUCAAGAAUAGCCUCACAAUGAUAUGAUGUCGGCCAUCCUUGUUCCCUACCUCACCACAUCAUGUAUGUACAUAUGGACUCCUCCUGAAUGUAAGCACAUACUUUGAACUUCCCCAUGAUAGGGUGAAGCCGGUGUAGGAGUCACAAAUGAUUGGAGCUGACCAUGCUGGAAGGCCUACAAAGAGAUGUUCAAAGCAUAUCUCGCUUAUCAACUUAAUAUUCGUUUUGUUGAGGGAGUGGUGUUGGGGUACAUCAAUUUUAUUUUAAUCUUAUUAAAAGAACUUGGGCCUAUCACAACCAUUGGUCCAAGUUAAUAUGAAUUAGUAGUAUAUAAUACUCCCACUAUUUCGAUGAAACAAGCGAGACUAUAUGGAACUACUAACGAAUGCUUUGUAUCCUCAUAUGGACUAUAUAGUCAUAUUAGGUCUUAGGAUGAUUAUGAACCGUUUGAUUUGAUCCAACACGAGCCUUGUGUUGGACCUUGGGUCUAAGGUAGGUAGUUGUUGAUUUUAGUUAUGCGUUUAAUCUAAUUAAACCGUUAUUUCCUAUUGGGCGUUGGACCCAACUAUUCCAAUUUGCAUACAAAUAAACAAAUAGGAAUACUUGAAAUAAAGAGAAGGGCUUAUGCCCUUUUACAACACAUUUGAUGGACUUAUGUCUAUUUACAACAAAUUUGAACUAAUCAAAUUAUAGUCAAAUCUUAACUACUUAACCUAAGCAUUCAUAAUGUAAAGCGGCCAAUCACAUAGCUCAAUUAUCGAGGCCUUUGGUUCAUAAUCACCCCUUUCUUAAUCAAUCAUAUUAACUAAGAAAGCAACUUAAACAAUUGGUUUUCAGAUUCAUAGAAUUGAUUUAAUGGAACUAAAUGAAAUGAAAAUCCAAUUCUCAUUAAAGAGACAAAACCAUUUUGUUCUCAUCAUAUUUUGGGCCGAAAAACAAUGACCACAACUAUUGGGCCACAAUGUUAAAACAUAAACUUUUGGGGUCACUUUGUAAAAACACAAGAGUCCACAACUUCAUGUAAUUACAACUAGCACCCAAAAAUUUCAACAAUAACAAAAACUUCAUUAAAGGAGCAAAACAAUUUGCCCUUUAGUGAUUUUGGGCUUUUACGUAAAAACGUAAACUUUUGGGCCAAAGUAUAAAUACACAAAAGUAUCAAAACUUUGUAGGGUGGCCGGUUUUGGUAGUGAAAAAGGGGGAAUGGUUUUGGUGAAAAUUCAAAAUUUUAAAGAGUGAUGAAAAAGUGAAAGGUAUGGGUUGAAAAGGUGAUUGGUAUGGUUGAAAAGGUUUGAUUCGUAUGGGUUGUAAGAAAAGGUUAGUCAAACAAUAAAGACACAAAACAUCCAUCACCAAUCAUCCAUCACCAAUCAAUAACAAACCAAAACUUUAUGCAAAGCAAUAAACAUAUUGAAUCAAAACACCAAAACUUUUUGUUCUUGGUAAGAACAUCAAGAACAUUGAAGAACACACAUGAAAACUCAUAAGAGCUCCAUGAAUGUUUUCACUCAAUAAAACUCAAAUUUUCACUACACAAAAGAGGGGUAAAAUCCUAGGGUACUCAGGGGUUCCAAAAGUCACUUUAAAACCUCUUUUAACAAGACAAACAUGAACCCAAAAAUCCACCCUUUGGAUUUCGCCGAAUUUCCCCACAUACAUGGCACCAAAUUUUAGUUCCAAUAUUCAUGCUUAAAUGAACUACAUCUACAACAUUUGAGAUGCGAAAUUUUCAAGCAAAAUUUAUAUUCAAAAGCAAGAACAAAGCUUGUAACAUUUACAACAUUUAAAUCACAAACCAUGAAAAAACACAAAACCCAAAAGGCUUCACCAUUAACUAGACCUAGGCUCUGAUACCAAUUGAAGGAAAAAAAUUUUCCUAGCUAAGAACAUGUGAGAACAUUUGAACACAUAUGCAAACUAAUAACACAUUAAAGUAGGCAUGCAUUUAAAAACAAUUCUAAAACCCAUGACUUUCAAAGCCUAGUGAAUGGUGAACCACAAGACUCUUUAACAAUAUUAAAGAGAAGGAAGGAUUUAGAGAUUCAUUACCCUUGAAGCUCAUCCUUGUUUACACAAGGGAUUCACCCAAGUGGAGGCCUUCAAGUCACCUCCUAGCUCCUUGGAUCUUCCUUGUGUUUUUCUUCCUUUUGAUGCUCCUUUGCUCCUUGAGGAUGUGAGGAAAGGAACUCCAAGAACACCAAACAUUUGGUGUCGCUAAUGCUCCUUUGCUCCUUGAGGAUGUGAGGAAAGGAACUCCAAGAACACCAAAGAUUUGGUGUCGCUAAGUCUCCACACCAAGGAUGAGGUGUGAAGAUGAAAUGGAUGACUUAGAGAAGAAAAGAUUGCUAGCUAAUUCUUCCCUAAGUGGCCGACCUCCUUUUAGAGAAAAAGAGAGAAAGUGUUUCUCUUCUUUGCCUCAAGAAAACCCUAAUGAGAAAAAGCUAUAAAGUUAACUUUAUACUACAUCACAUGUGAGUGGCAAACUUGUAAUUAAUUCAAGUUUGCAUCCACUCACCCUUAUGGCCGGCUUUGUCUUUGUUAUUGGGCUAAUUGCCCAUUUUGUUUAGUUGUCAUACAACUUAAACAUAAUGGGCCUUGUGGCCCUAAACACUUUUGGGCCCCGAAACCCAAAACCAACUUAAAAGCCCAAUACGAACCUUUCAUUAAAUUAAUUAACUAAUUAAUUAAUCUUGACCAUUCUCAAUUAAACCAUUUAAUUGCUUAUCCAUCCCAUUUAUAUAUCUUCACUUUCAUCCUUACUCGGUGUACGAUCCAUUAACUUCCAAUUAGCGAGGCAGUGGGCAAUUGUUACUCUUAACGAUCGAUUGUGAAUUGAAACAACAUUUCAAUUCUCCCUUUGAUGAAGAUUAGUGUUUGCUAAUCUUCAGGGCUUCCACAAACCAUGAGUGACACCUAGCAGUAUGUCAUGGCUACCCAAGCUAAGUAAAAGUGGUUGGAGAACCUAUCCAGUUACAAUUACAAUGCAAUACGGUCAUUCUCUUAUAAAAUACUCUUAAUCACAUUGUUUGAGUGAUAGUUUGUUUCAUGUCUACUAUCCAAUGUGAUACUUCUUUAUAUGAUUCAAUUGAAUAUGAUUUGGAACAAACUUCCUAAGUCAUAUUCAUAUGUUUUGGCCAAAGACUCCCGAAUCAUAUCUUAGAGUAUUCUACCUCCAUCAUGGAAGGUUAGAGAUCCCUUGUUGUGCUUUCAUAUGCCUACAUGACUAGAUAUUUUGACCCCAACAAUGAUGUGGACACUCUCGAUGGAAUUCCUUUGACAUGAUCAAUGAUCAAGGACCUAACCAUUAGACAUCUAUGAUGCCUCAGGUCAAAGGAGUACUUUGCAUAUUGCAACUAACGAGUUCUUACAUGACAUGUAUGUUCGAACUCUCCUUUGAUUGUUGUUCAGUGUACUCGAUUACCUUUUCGAGCACCUACAUGUUUGUCUUAGUGUCCAACACUAAAUGACUUGAGACUAGUCAUACUCACGCUUGAGUUGACAUAACACAUACUAACCUUAGCGGAUUGUCGAUGCCCAAUUGGCAAUCCUAUGGCUAGGAGCGUUUUAGGAAUGAACAUAAGAGAAUGGUCUCGUUAAUCUAACUUACUUAGAUCACUUCUCUCUCAGAUUAACUACUUUCCUUGGAUUCCCUUAUUGCUUAAACACAUGAUACAAUAAAUAGUGAUUAACAAUAAGCUUCGCCCUUCAUUAAACAUAUAAUAGUUUAAUACAAUAAGUAUUCCAAAGGCUAUUACAUCAAAUGAGUGGCUUUGUGGGCAUACGUCCAACAGUCAUUUGUACUAAAUCAUUCACUAGUUCUCACUAAAGGAGAGCUUGAACCUAUGUACUUGUGUAAACCCUUCACAAUUAAUGAGAACUUCUCUACUCCGUGGAUGUAGCCAAUCUGGGUGAACCACAUACAUCUUGUGUUUGCUUCCUUGUCUUUAUCCAUUUACAUACUUAUCCACACUAGUAACCGGAGCAAUCUAGCGAAAGUCACAAACUUGACACUUUCUGUUGUACCAAAGUCCUCACUGAUUUUGUGCAUCAACAGGGCCCAAAACAGACAAUAUCGUGCUAUGGUGGAGUCGAGUCCGGGAUGUAGUGGGGGCCCGGGCCGGGACGUGACAAAUAAUCAUAGAAUCAGAUCAAUAUUCAAUAACCAAUAAUCAUAUUAGUGCAUUACCGUAAAAUUCUAUACCAAUCAAACAAAAUUUGUAUUAAAUAAUUAAUUAGGGUUAGGGAUUGUAAAUGUAGGAAUUAAAGAAUUUACGUUUCAAGGCUGAAGCCGGCGGCUCAACGGCUGGAGAAGUGGACAGUGGUUGGAAGGUUGACAAUUCAAUUCGAAUUAAAAAAAUAUUUCUUCUGUUACUGCUGGGACUUUGGGGGGUAGCUUUGUUAUGCUAUCUGGCUGAAAGGUUGAAAAACAAAAAGGGAGGGCCACGGCACUGAGAGUCUAAAAGGGAUUGAGAGUGAAAGAGGGACACGCGGUCCCCCAAUAUAUAUAUAUAUAUUAUUUCGAAACAUAUGAAACAGUGUUGUUUCAAUAUUUUUUUUUAAUUUUUUUUACCAGGACCAAAACAACAUCGUUUUGGCCUAGAUGUUUUAAAAAAAGAAAAAGAAAAAGCAAUAUGCUGUUGCGCACAGCAGAACCCAAACAUCACCGGACCCUAGGGAGCGAUUGUUGAACAUCCCGACAAGGGGAAGGGCUGACCCAGAGAUCCAGUCCUAUUUUCGGUGAGGGGAAUGGCGGCCACCACUUCUCGCCCUUCCAUGGCUUCGCCACUGCUCAUACAUACAACCCAUCCCUUGAGAUCUUAUACAAACCAGUUUCAAUACACCCCCUCAAGCUGAAUCAAGGGGAUUGAUUGAUCCAAGCUUCCACAACAAACAUUGAAACUGAGUAGAGUCUAAUGCUUUUGUGAAUCAAUCAGCAAGUUGAUCGUGGCUACUUGUGAACAUGGUGUCUAUCACCUUGGAUUGAACUUGACCAUGAAUAUAAUGGCAGUCAACUUCAAUAUUUUUGGUUCUUUCAUGGAAUAUUUGAUUGGAGGUAAUGUGCAUGGUAGCUUGGUUAUCACAAUACAAGGACAUAGGUGUCAUGCUUGUGAAUCUGAGCUCGGAAAGAAGACCUUUCAACCAUAUGAGUUCACAGGCUGUUGCUGCCAUGGCACUAUACUCAGCUUCCGCACUAGAUCAAGCAAUAACAGUUUGUUUCUUGCUCUUCCAAGUGCAAGAUUCCCUCCAACAAAUGUGCAAAAACCUGUUGUGGAUUUUCGAUCAAGGGCAUUUCCAGCCUAAUCAGCAUCUGUGUAGGCCAAAAUGUGAUUUGAUCCAUUGUUCUUCAUAAUUAUCCCCAUUCCUACAGAGCCAUUGAGAUAUCGAAGUAUUCUCUUGAUGAUUCCCCAGUUGACUGAAGUAGGAGACUGCAUGAACUAACUAGGUAGGCUAACUGAAUAAGAGAUAUUAGGCUUAGUAAUGAUGAGAUAAAUAAGCUUCCCCACCAUUCGCUGAUAAACACCAGGGUCCGAAAGAGGUUUUCCUUUUUCAUGCCAUUAUUGACUACCACAGACAACAAUACCCUCACCAUGUUCAUUUUGGCAACAGGAGCAAAGGUCUCAUUUUAGUUAAUGCCAUAAGUUUGAGUAAAGCCUUGAGAUACUAACCGUGCCUUUUGUUUCUUGAUGCUUCCAUUGGAGUUAAAUUUGGUCUUAUAUAUCCACCUACUUCCCAUGCCCUUCUUGCCAUUUGGAAAGUCCACCACACUCCAUGCCUGGUUGUCAUUAAGAGCUUGAAGAUAUUUAGUCAUAGCAUCUUGCCACCCAUCCAUGCAUGUGGCUUUAUGAAAGUUCCUUGGUUCGAAAGUGUAGGACAAUUUGUUAAGGAAAGAAGUAUGAGAAGAUGAGAAUCUAUGAUAAGAAAUGGCUGCAGAGAUAGGAUACCUUGUAGUGUAAGUAACAUACUCUUGUAACCUCACUGGUGGAUGUCUAUCUCAUGUAGGAUUUCUUAUUGGUGCACUUAUAACUUGCUGAUUUGGUUGAGCUUCUGAUGGUUUAGAAAAGCUUGGCACUGAAUCAAUUACACUCUUAGUGAGUUGAGAAUUAUCAGUGCUGAUAUGAGCAAGAAUGACUUCAUGAAUUUCUGCUGGAAUAGGUAGUGGAAAUAUGUACAUAAGAUAUUCCAUAUUAGCAUUAGUCUCCAACCCUUUCUGGAAAUAAGGUGAAUAUUCAUCAAAUCGUACAUCUCUAAAGAUUGCCAACUUCCUUGUGUUAGGGUUGUACACUUUGUAACCCUUUUGAGAACUGGCGUAUCCCAUAAACACGCAUUUGACAGCUCGAGGAUCGAGUUUGUCACAAUGGAGAGCUUGAAUAUGCACAUAACAAGUACAACCAAAGGUCCUGAUGUAAGACAAGUCUAUAGGUCUGCCCUUCAUUACUUCAAAAGGAGAUUUAGUAUUCAACACCCGAGUUGGCAAUCUAUUAACGAUGUAAGUGGCAGUGAGUAGGGCUUGAGACCAAAAAUUCUUAAGAACAUUCAUUUGGAUCAUAAGUGAUCAAAUUUUCUCCAAUAAGUCUCGAUUCUUUCUCUCUGCCACACCAUUUUGUUGUGGUGUACCAGCAUAGCUAGUUUGAUGUAAAAUACCAUGAUUGCUCAAGUAAUUACUCAUGUUAUUGGAAGUUUACUCUGUGCCAUUAUCUGAUCUUAACAUAUAUAACUUAGAUGAAAAUUGAUUGGUGAUUAGGUUGUGAAAGUCCUUAAAAGAAUCAAACAAAUCACUUUUAAGUUUUAAAAGAUACAACCAGGUCACUUUUGAAUAGUCAUCAACAAACGUAAAAUAAUAUCUACACCCAUCAAAGGAUUCUACAUGAGAAGGACCCCAUAUAUCUAAGUGAACAAGCUCAAAAAGUUUACUAGUUCUAGAAUUAGAGGAAACAAAAGGAACUCUAGUGGCUUUUGACAUUUGACAAGUUUCACACUCAAGUGUGUUUCUACAAAAAAGGGGAAACAACUUGGUCGUCACAGGUUAUGAGGGAUGGGCAAGGCGUUGAUGCCAGAGUUGGUGUUCCUAAACUUGACUUAAGUUGACACGGAGCUUCUUGACAAAAUUGGACUCCUUUAAGAGAUAGUAGAGUCCGUUCAAGAAGAACCCUUCACCAAUCUUCUUCUGAGUAACUCGGUCCUAAAACACAACAUUGUGAAGGGAAAAUAUGGCAAGACAAUCUAAGGUUUUUGUGGUUUUUCCUAUUAACAAAAGCUGAAAAGGAAAAGAAGGUACAUAAAGAGGAGUGGAAUCAGUAUGCUCACUUACCAAUCUAACCUUUCCUUUCCCUAGAAUAGGUUCCCUUUUCCCAUUUGCAAUAGAUACAUGAAUUGGAUCAAUAGUUGUUUGAAAUUUGUGGAGACUAAAGGGUUUAUUAUUUAUAUGAUCAGUGGCACCAUAGUCAAUAAUACAAAAGUCAUGUGUAACAUUUGCAUUAAGAGUAGUGGAAAUGGCACUGAUAAUACUUGGAAUAUUGCCGUUCGAUAUGUUCUCUAAGUCAACCAAGAAUCCAGCAAAUUUCCCUAACAUUGUAGUAGGCAUUUUAGGCAUCAUUUCAUCAGGCUCAGUGCUUCCUUGCUUCUUUUGAAGAAAAGCAGUAAACUCGUCGAUCAAGGACACAGAUUUAUUGAGGAAUUGGCCAUCCCAUCAGUUGAGGAACAAGCUGAGUGAAAUACUUUUGGAGUGACUCCUCCCUUCUUAUCUUUGAUCAUCAUGCCUUCCCUAUCAAACUUAGGCUUGAACUCCAGAUGAAGAAUCCAACAUAUUUCUUUUAGAUGUCCCUUCAUGUUGCAAUAAGAACAUUUCAAGUCUACUUUCUUCCCAAGCAUUCUAUCACCAGUUGUUUUGUGAUCUGUCGUGAAAACCCUAGCCUCAGAGUUGGAUUUGGCCUCAACGUUCAUCAUUCUUCGUUGAGUUUCCUCUCUCUGGACUGCAUGACACACACUGGUAAAGAAGGGCAGGUCUUGAGUCAUUAACAAAUGACUACGCAGGUCUUCAUACUCAUCUCCAAAGCUUCCUAAGAGUUGAAACACCUUGUCUUCAUCAACUCUCUUCAGUAACACGAUGGAAUUAGUCGUGUGUGGACAAUACAUAUCGAGUUCAUUCCACAUAGAUUUCAUACUUCUAAGGUAUUAAACAAAGAAGUGAUCACCUUGCUUUAAACUAGCCACACUCUUCUUCAGUUGAAAGAUGUUAACUAAGUUGUUUUGGCUGCCAAACAUGUCUUUGACAGACUCCCAUAACAGAAGGAAGACUCUGAGUAGUUGAAAAGCUUAAACAAUUUUGGCUCCAUGGAGUUAAGUAUCCAAGACAUGACCAACUAAUCAGUAGCGUGCCAUGUAUCAUAGGUUGGUGAAGUGGAUUCUGGGGGCUCAGAGCUUCCAUUGAUAAACCUUAGCUUUAAUCUUCCCCCUAAAGCAAGUGGCACAACUCUUGACUAAGAAAGGUAGUUGAACUCAUUCAGUAGCACCGAGUAGAGUCGUUGAUUUGGAUUGUUCUCACCCCAUUAGGUUAAGUUUGGGGAGGAGGAUGAGGCAUUGUUGGCACUAGAUGCAUUUUCUUCUACCAUCUCCAUCAAUGAUGAGCAAAUGAAGAAGUAAAAAAAAAAAUGAAGGCAACUCUCAUAGAGAGCCAAAAAGAAAGCUACGAGAGAUUAUAGGCUAACUAGCCCAACAAUCCCUAAAAUCUGCCCUAACAAGUGGAAAAGCCAAAACCAAAUUACAAGGAAAGAAGCUUUUACAAGCAACUAAGAAAGGUUGAUAAAAGAAAGGUAAGGUGAAUGACAAGUUAUGGGAAGUCAUGAAAGUAGGGUUAAGACCAUCACUUUAACCUAUGACUUAGCUAAAGUGAGGAUGACGACCAAUACAUACAACCCAUUGAUAGGAGCAUAUUUAUGCGACUUAGUUAUUUUAGUAUUUUAAGCUAUUUUCGUGUGUUUGAAGGUCCAAAGGGUUAAUGUGGCAAAGAAGUGCAUUUUGGAGCAUUUUUGGGCAUGGAAUGGAUAGCAUAUGCUUGGAGCAAAAGGAAUGGACGAAAUUUGAAAUUUGUGCAUCAUCCUCUCCCUAUAAAUAACCAUUUUAGCACACUCAUUUCACCCAACACAUUCACCUACCACUACAUCCACUCAUUUCACCCAACACAUCCACUCAUUACAACCACCCAACACAUUCACCUACCACUACAUCCAUUCAUUUCACCCAACACAUCCAUUCACCUACCACUACAUCCACUCAUUUCACCCAACACAUCCACUCAUUACAACCACCCAACACAUUCACCUACCACUACAUCCACUAAUUUCAACCACCCAACACAUUCACCUACCACUACAUCCACUCAUUACCACCACCCACUACAUCCUCUCCCUAGGCUAUAAAUACAUCCACCCUUCACCAUAACUAGAAUUCCAAUUCCCUAGCCAUGAGCACCUUACAUUCAUUCAUAUAUUCCCACAUCCCACAAACACAUACAAAUCCAUUCCCUUGCCAUGGCACUCAUCCAACCAAAAAUCAAACACAAAUCCAUACAUUCCCUUCAACCUUGCCAUGGCAUCCAUCCAACCUAAAUACAUUCAUAACCUUUCCAUAAAUCCAUACACAUCCUUAGAUACUUGUGCUGCAACAAGGUGGUGAAAACGAAGGUCCUUGGCGUUGCAAGCUUGAAACUUUGGAGCGUUUUAGGUGUACUUCGUUCUUGCUUUCAAUAUCUACUUUGUUAUUUUCUGAUUUUGUUACAAUUAUGAGUAACUAAACCCCCCUUAGCUAGGGGGAAAUUCAAAGCCAUGAACAUACUUGCAAUAUGAAUUGAUUACCUUCAGUUGUGAUUUCAUAAGUUGUGAAUUCAAUUUGUUUAGCUACUUGAUUGUUAACUUAUUCGUGUAUGUUUAUUAAGAGUGCACACUUAGUUGCAUGCAUGAAUAUGAUGCUAGAAUAUAAGGGAGUUGAAGGAAAAAUUUUGUCCUAGCCAAUAACAAGUAAGAACAUUUGAAUACACAUGCAAACUAUUAACACAUUAAAGUAGGCAUGCAUUAAAAAACAAUUCAUAAAACCCAUGACUUUCAAAGCCUAGUAUAUGGUGAACCAAAAGACUCUUUAACAACAUUAAAGAGAAUUAAGAAUUUAGAGAUUCUUUACCGUUGAAGCUCAUCCUUGUUUACACAAGGGAUUCACCCAAGUGGAGGGCCUUCAAGUCACCUCCAUGCUCCUUGGAUCUUCCUUGUGAUUUUCCUCCUUUUAGUGCUCCUUUUCUUCUUUGAGGAUUUGAGGAUUAGUUCUCCAAAACAUCAAAAGCUUGAUGUCUCUAAGUCUCCACACCAAGGAUGAAGUGUGAAGAUGAAAAUGGAUGACUUAGAGAAGAAAAGAUUGCUAGCUGAAUCCCCUGUAAGUGGCCGGCCUCCUUAGAGAAAAUGAGAGAAAGUGUUUCACCUCAUUUCACCAAGAAAAACCCCAAUAAGAAAUAAAGCUAUAAAGUUGAUUUUAUACUUCAUUUCAAGUGAGUGGCAAACUUGUAAUUAAUCCAAAUUUGCAACCCCUCACCCUAUGGCCGGCCUUACCUUGUUAUUGGGCUAAUUUGCCCAUUUUGUUUUAGUUGUCAUACAACUUAAACAUAAUGGGCCUUGUGGACCAAAACGCUUUUGGGCCCCGAAGCCCAAAACCAACUUAAAAGCCUAAUACGAAGAUUUCGUAUAAUUAAUUAACUAAUUAAUUAAUCUUGACCAUUUUUCAAUUAAACAAUUUAAUUGCAUAUCCAUCUUAUUUAUUUCUUCACUAUCAUCCUUACUCGGUGUACGAUCCAUUAGGUUCGAUUCAGCGAGGUAGUGGGCGAUUGUUACUCUUAACGAUCGAUUGUGAAUUGAAACCACAUUUCAAUUCUCCCUUAAAAUUAGUGUUUGCUAAUCAUUAGGGCUUCCACAAACCAUGAGUGACACCUAGCAGUAUGUCAUGGUUACCCAAGCUAAGUAGAAUUGGUUGGAGAACCUAUCCAGUUACAACUACAAUGCAAUACGGUCCUUCUCUAAUACAAUACUCUUAAUCACAUUGUUUAAGUGAUAGUUUGUUUCAUGUCUACUAUCCAAUGUGAUACUUCUCUAUAUGAUUCAAUUGAACAUGAUUUGGAACAAACUUCCUAAGUCAUAUUCAUAUGCUUUGGCCAAAAACUUCCUUAGAGUAUUCUCCUUCCACCAUGGAAGGUUAAAGAUCCUUUGUUGUACAUUCAUAUGCCUACAUGACUAGAUAGCUUGAUCCCAACAAUGCCGUGGACACUCCAAUGGAAUGCCAUUUAACAUGAUCAAAGAUCAAGGACCUAACCAUUAGACAUCUAUUAUGCCUCAGGUCAAAGGACUACUUUGCAUAUUGCAACUAUCGAGUUCUUACAUGACAUGUAUGUUUGAACUCUCUUUUGAUCGGUGUUCAGUGUACUCGAUUACUCUUUCGAGCACCUAUGUGUUUGUCUUAGUGUCCAACACUAAAUGACUUGAGACUUGUCAUACUCGCGCUUGAGUCGACAUAACACAUACUAACCUUAGCGGAUUGUCAAUGCCCAAUUGGCAAUCCUAUGGCUAGGAACGUUUUAGGAAUGAACAUAAGAGAAAGGUCUCAUUAAUCUAACUUACUUAAAUCACUAAUCUCUUAGAUCAAAUACAUUCCUUGGAUUCCCUUAUUGCUUAAACACAAGAUACAAUAAAUAGUGAUUAACAAUAAGCUUUGCCCUUCAUUGAACAUAUAAAAGUUUAAUACAUUAAGUAUUCCAAAAGCUAUUACAUCAAAUGAGUGGCUUUGUGGGCAUACUUCCAACAGGAGUUUCACCUAAUAGUUACAAACUUAUAUUCACAAGUAGUGGAGGUCGCUUAUAAACGAUCGCGUUAAAUGAAUUCGUGGCAGGAGUUUCAUGCUCAUCAUAGUAACGAAUGCCUUGUCAAUACUUAUAGUUUUCAUAAUGCUUAAUGAUCUUUGAUUGUUUCUUUAUUGUGUUGUUCACGUAAAGGACUUUUGAAGAAUGCUUGAAUUGUCGUAUGUGUUUUCCCAUCCAAAUCAAUAACUUAAGGAGAACUUGAAGGUUAAUUUAAGCGAACUUAAUUAACCUGGGGUGUCGAGUUUCAUGAUUCAUCGAAAGAACAACUAAAAAUUGGUUUAUGUGCAAGUGUGUCAUGUGUGGAGAAGAACCUUCUAGCUAGCCCAUCAUCCAUAGUUUACCCAAAUUCGUCCAAAAUCUGUUUUAGCUUACAAUCUGUUUGUUUUGUUUUCAAAUUCGUCAAAAUCCAAUCCCCCUUUACUUUAAAAUGUUUUAUUAGUCAAAAUAUGUUUUGAUUUGUGUUUUUAAGUGUCUUGAGUCAAGUUAGAACCUAAUUUCGUCGAAACCCAUCCCUAGAGUUAGUUUAGAGUCUAAUUCAUUGUUUUAAGCUGUUUUGAGUCUUUAAAACUAGGUUUGAGUCUUUUUAGUUUGUAUUGCAUCUUUUGAGUCUAGUUUGGUGGUUUAAACUUAAUUCUACAUUUUUAAGUCAAUUUCAGGUGUUUUAGCAACCUCUCAUAAUCCCCGGCCUAGAACGAUCCCUACUUACAUUCUUUACUACAAUUAACAACAAAAGGGUUUAAUUUGUGUGUUAAGUUAAUUUUUGCAUCACCCAUCCCUUGAGAUCAUAUACAAACCGGUUUCAAUAACAAAGGACGCAGGUUAUGUUUGUAUUCACACGUUUCUUCUUCAUAUUCUCAUUGGUUAGAUAAUGUCCAGGCUAAUUUUCCAAACUAGAAUCUUCACUUUUGUUGGGAGGAACCUUUGCAGCCCAUAUUUUCUUCAAAAUUUCACCAAAGGUGUUAGGAGUAGGAGACGAAGAAGCCUUAUCACGAUAUGAGGCCAGCGAAUCCUAAGCCAUUGCAUUUGCACUUCUUACGGAGAAAUUUCCUUUCUUGUCAAAGUGCCAUAGGAGGCAAUCGUCCGGCUUUAUAAGACUCAAAGGGAGUGAGAGAAUUCAAUUGGUUUCAACGUCUGAGAAGAGGAACUUCAGCAGGGAGACGUUCCAGUUUUGGGAAUCGUCGAUGAGAUCAUACACAAAAUGUGCAACAUGGUCUGGUGGUUUCAGUGAAAAAAUCCAAAAACGAGUGGGAAGAGGAAACCAUCUGUCCUCCAAGAUUUUGACCAUAUCACCACAUGGAAUCUGCCAUCUGGAACCCUAACCAAUGAUGCUCUUAGCGCUACAGAUGCUCUUCCAACCCUGUUUUUCCAAAAAGCUAAGGUUGAAGGCAUAUAAAUUUUUGAACCUAGACCUCUUUCUUCUCUAGGGAGGCAAAACAUCUCCCAAUGGAGCCAAUGAAUCUUCAUAGAGUUUGAAGCCCCACUCUACCAGAAAUCAAUAAUAGAGCAGUUAAGUUCAUCACAAAAAUACUUCGGUAGGAGGAAACUAUACAUCAUGUAUAGUGGGAUUGAUUAGGCAACAACUUUGACAAGGAGUUCAUGCCUCACGACACAGAGUAAUUUGCCCUUCCAAUAAAAAAGUGGGGGCAGGCCAUCCAGACUAGGACCUUUGUUAAGGUGCAUCUGGAAAAAUUCCAUCCUUGAAAACCACAUCACUCCACCAAUUCCCAGAAAACGAGGAUCGAUCUUAUUGGCCUUAAACCCUUACCGUUUUUUAGCAAUGGAAGAUUUCAUUGAAAUCGCUCCCGCAGACCCAAGGCAAAGAUGAUUCCGUAGCCAGGCGCCUUAGGAGAUCCCCAAUCUCAAAUCUUCUACUCAAUGUGCUGGAAUGGGUGAGAUAAAAUCCAUAGAAGGACAUUCGCUUUCCAAAAAGGUAAAUUUUCCUUACUAUCCUCUAGAGUCUACUCCAAACACAUGAUCAAAACCCAAUUGUAACAUAAUAUACCUUUGGUUCCACACAUUGCUUUUCAUUUCAGAGAGAAAAACAAUGUGGGGAUCAUUUUGCUAGAUUAAAUCUCGCAUCGUCUGAACUAUCUGAAGAUUCCCAAGCCCCAGGUAGUUCCAAAAGAUGGUAUACAUGGCUGAUGGCAAGCUGAGAAACUUCAAUCGCCACUGAUGGUAGUUGAUUAGUUGAUUUCCUCAUUCCAGAUAAUUAUUUCUUUGUUUCUUCAAGUUCUUUGGAUGGACCCACCACCACGUUGCUAAGUUUAAAGGAGUUAAUCGUCGAAGGUUUCACUGUUGCCACUUUCCAGUCUUAGCCACCCAGGUUCUUUUGAGGACGUCCUCUAGAAGCUCUCUUUUAGGCAUAGUGUAAGGGUUUUAGUUGUCCUCAAAUAAAAGAGAUUCUCGCACAUUUUUUAGCUUUUACCAAAUCAUGGGCCUUUUUUUCCUUUUUUUUCUAGGAGGGGUCCAAAGAGGUUACCAUUCAGAGGGAAAGCCGAUGAUCCUCAAGCUUGGUGAUCUGCGCACCACUAGUGUUGGAUGGGCUAGCACAAUUAAAGCCAAGUUCUGGCCCAAAGUUUGAGGAAAGUUGAUAAGGCCCAUGGUGUUAGAGAAGGGCCAAGGAGUGACUUUUCUAGGAUCAUAACAAACUUUAUCCAAAUUCAAAUCAUUGACAACCAAAGUCAAUGAGCCAUUAGUGUAGAAGGUCCUGAACUUAUCAAAGUGCAACAUAUGUCCAUGAUCCUUUACGGAAGGUUGUCUUUUGACGCUAUUAGUCAGUGCAGUACUAGGUAUCACGCACGAUGAGCCAGGGCCAAUGUUCGUAAGGUUUUUCCCAGUCCCAUCACCAUCGUUAGUGCUCAGACUGCUCAGAGAUGGACAGUUGUCGCACACAGAUCUCCAUAUAGCCUCUUCCAUAACCUUUUGCAUCAUCACUAAUUGUGCCUAAAACUACCUUGUCGGUGAUUCCCUUGACUCGUCAGCAAUACCAUAGAAGCCCCCCUUGUUAUCCCAUUUUCAAUGCCAGUGCAAUUAGUUAGUGUCAGGUAAGGCUUUUGGGUAGGAGUGUGGUGAAACUUACAUAGUUCGUGGAUCCUCCCCAUACUUAUUUUCUCUAGUCACAGAGAACUUGGUUUCCCAUAUGCAACCCCUUGAAUGACCCAGUCUUCAACAUCUAUAGCAAAAGUCCCUCGGACCCUCAUAGCGGAGGCAAACAGUUAAUAUGCUAUUCUUUAGUGACGGUAUCGUGAAGUGAGUCAGUAGUAGUCAAAGGACAUAAACAUCAACCCUUAUUCUUAGAAACCCACGGCCUCAGCUGGGUCCUCCACCUCAAGAACAACACCAAUUUUUCCACCUAGCCACAACGUGUUUUUCACUAUGCAUAGAUAGUGAGGGAUACCAUGAGUUUAAACCCAAAAAACAGCUAUGUUAGCCUUAAUGUUGUCCAGGGAGUGGAAUUUGGGCCAUAACUUAUUUGAGAAGGUGUAGCCUGAAGGAAAUUUUGUGAAAACAUGUUCAUUUGAGCAACAUCUAUGGCAUGCAAUUAACAAUUAAAGGCGGAAUCAUGCUUGUAUGCACUCAAAAUAAAACAUUACCCAUGAAGUUCAAAGCCUAGUAGUUAUGUGAACCAAGACUCAACUCAAGAACAAAGUGAGUUGAGAAAUUUUAUACCUUUGUUGAUUCCUUUUUGCAUAAGCAAAGGCUAAUCACCCAAGGAGAGGGCCUUCAUUCCUUGCUUCUUAGCUCCAUGGAUUUCUUGGAUGAGGAUGGUUGAAAGGAUUCUCCAAGUUCCCAAAGUUGAGAACCUCUAAGUCUCCACACCAAGGUAGGACUUGAAGAAGAGAUGAGUGACCUAGAGGAAGUAGCUAAAAUCCUCUAGGGUGGCCGGCCUCUUAAAGAGAAAAGGGAUCUUGUGUUCUCAUCUUUUCUCCAAAAGAAACCUUAAGGAUGAAAUGGCCAUAAAGUUGCCUUUAUACCACCUCACAAUGGAGUGGCAAACUUGCAAUUAAGCCAAGUACACUACCUGUCUCUAUAUGGCCAGCCAUUAAGGGUUCAUUGGGCUUUCAAGCCCUUUGUGGUUUCAAGUUGUCAUACAACGUGAGUUAAUGGGCUUGACAUUCAAAUCCCAUUGGGCAUUGCGGCCCAAAACUAACCUGGGGUCUAUAACGAACUUAUUCGUUUGAUUAAUUAACAUUUUAAUUAAUCCUAGCCAUAAAUAAUUAAACCAUUUAAUUAUCCUUACUCAUCUCUGUUGUUUCUUCAAUCUCUACCUUACACGGUGUACAAUCCAUUAGGUUCCUUUUAGCGAGGCAGUGGGCGAUUAAAACUCUUUCAAAUUGAUUGUGAAUUAAAACUUACUUUCAAUUCUCCCUUUAGUGAUUAUACACGUUUAGGGCUUCCACAAACCAUGAGUGACACCUAGCAGUAUGUCAUGGUUACCCAAGCUAAUCAGAAAAGGUGAAGAACCUAUUCAGUUUAGGAUUACAAUGCAAUACGAUCUUUCUUUAAUACAAUACUCUUGGCCACUUUGUUUGGUUUGAUAGUUUAUUCAUUUCUACUAUCCAAUGUGAUUCAUUUACUUAUAUGAUUACCUUGAAUGUAAUUUGGAACGACUUCCUAAAUCUCAUUCAUACUCUGGCCAGAGAUUCUUAAUCAUAUCAUAGAGUAUUCUCCCUCAAACAGUUAGAAGGUUAGAGAUCCCUUGUUGUGCAUUCACUUGCCUCUAUGGCUAAGUGGCUUAACCCCAACUAUGUGGUUACCCUCGGAUGGAGUGACUUUGACAUAGUUAAAGAUAAAAGACCUAACCACAAGACAACUAUGAUGCCUCAGGUCAAAAGACUACUUUGCAUUAUCCCAACCAUGAGUUCUCAUGUGACAUGAGUAUGAGAACUCCUUGUUGAUCGCGUUCAGUGAACUCAUUCUCUAUUGAGCACCUACGUACUUGUCUUGGUGUCAGUUGUUGGAAAGGUGCCCUAAAACCAAUCAUAUGAUGAUACUUUACGGACAUUUCACAUGUUAAACUAAUCUAGUUUAAUAUCAAGGGCAAAUAUUAUUGUUUUAAGCCGUCUCAUAUAAAUGUUAUAUGCUUAAACGAUAAGUCCAAGGAAUAUGUAAUUAGAAGAAUAUAAUUUAAAAAAGUUAGUUUCAUGGAUUCAUGAGACCAUUCUCUUUCGUAUACAUAUCCUAAACGUUCCUGAUCAUAGGAUUGCCAAUUGGGCAUUGACAGUCCAUGAAGAUUAGUACGUGCUGUGUCUUCUCUCAGGGAGAGUGACUAGUCUCGAGUCAUUAGUGUGAUUGACACCAAGACAAGCAUGUAGGUGCUCAAUAGCGAAUGAGUCCACUGAACAUGAUCAACGAGGAGUUCUCAUACUUAUGUCACAUGAGAACUCAUGGUUGGGAUAAUGAGAAGUAGUCCUUUGACCUGAGGCAUCAUAAUUGUCUUAUGGUUAGGUCCUUGAUCUUUGACUAUGUCAAAGUCACUCCGUCAGAGGGUGUCCACGACAUAGUUAGGGUUAAGCCGCUUAGCCAUGGAGGCAAGUGAAUGCGCAACAGGGGAUCUUUAACCUUCAAACUGUUUGAGAGAGAAUACUCUAUGAUAUGAUUAAGAAUCUCUGGCCAAAGUAUGAAUAAGAUUUAGGAAGUCAUUCCAAAUCACAUUCAAGGUAAUCAUAUAAGUAAGAGAAUCACAUUGGAUAGUAGACAUGAAUAAACUAUUAAACCAAACAAUGUGGUCAAGAGUAUUGUAUUAGAGAAAGACCGUAUUGCAUUGUAAUCCUAAAUUGAAUGAAGGCCCUCUCCUUGGGUGAUUAGCCUUUGCUUAUACAAAGAGGAAUCAACAAAGGUAUAAGAUUUCUCAACUCACUUUGUUAUUGAGUUGAGUCUUGGUUCACAUAACUACUAGGCUUUGAAUUUCAUGGGUAAUGUUUUGUUUUAAGUGCAUACAAGCAUGAUUCCGCCUUUAAUUGUUAAUUGCAUGCCAUAGAUGUUGCUCAAAUGAACAUGUUUUUCACAAAAUUUCCUUCAUCAGUCACACCAAUGACUCGAGACCAGUCAUUCUCCCUAAGAGAAGACAUAGCAAUUACUGAUCUUAACGGACUGUCAAUGCCCAAUUGGCAAUCCUAUGAUCAUGAAUGUUUAGGAUAUGUAUAUGAAAGAGAAUGGUCUCAUGAAUCUAACUUCUUUAGAUCGCAUUCUCCGAAUUACAUAUUCCUUGGACUUAUCGUUUAAGCGUGUCACAUUUAUAUGAGACGGCUUCAAACAAUAAUCUUUGCCCUUUAAAUUAAACUAUAUUAGUUUAACAUGUGAAAUGUCCAUAAAGUAUCAUCAUAUGAUUGGUUUUAGGGCACAUUUCCAACAAUCUCCCACUUCCACUAGAGCCAAUCAGCUUGGUCAUCAAUGAUGAUACCUCUUCUGUAGUCAUUUCAAAAAUGGCUGAGUAGUAGGCCUAGAUAAUGGAUAUCUAUAUGUUAUCCAUAGAAGCAACCUUGAGAAUAACGACAUCACCAUUAUACAUGAUUCUCAAUCAUGUGGUUUAGUCUCUCAUUUGAGUUCAGAUCACGAUGAGACCUUGAUUCCCUAGCUUGAGCUAUCACCCCAUUAGUGUCGUAGUGUCGGUACACUAGAGACACUUUCUGGUUGGAACCGAAUAGAGAGUUCAUGAAUGAACUUUCUCAUCCAAACAACAUUGUUGUAAGCUUCUAUAUGGCAAUAUAUUUUGCAUUCAUAAUGGAACACACUAAAGUCAUUACUUUUAAUGUUUCCAUCCAAAUAUCUCUUUAGUUAUAAUAAAGAGACAUCUGAUUAUUUCUUCAUUCAUAAUGAAGAAACAUCCAAUGAUGGAUUAGAUUCAUAAUCUAAUACAUUUGCGCUUCCAUUACGUUACUCUAAUUCUUCCUCACUCUUUGAGGAAUCUAUCCUUUAGUAUUUCUUAAAUACUUAAGGACUUACUUGACAGUUGCCAUGGUUCUGAUCAUGGGCUUACACUGAUACCGUUUUGUACCGAUCUUGGUACAACUCAUAUCAACGUUUUUCAUACAAUAUGAAAUACAUAAUUCACCUUUCUGCGUAUACAUAAAGGAUUAUAUUUACGCAUUAUUUCUUUGGGAGUCAAACGGUACGUUCCCUUUGAGAAGAGCUACCUCAUAGCCUCACUAGAGUUGUUCUUCUGAUUGAAGUUUAUCAUCAUAUGAGAAACUUCCUAGCAUCUUUUGUCUAUCAUUAGGGCUUGAUAGAGUCCAAUUAUAUCCUAAAAUCGAUCAUUAUAGAUUUCCAUCCCAUGUUUAUAGAAUAUGUCUCCCAUAUACAUUCUAUUGUUAUAGAAUGUUUAAAGUCAUAACUUUAACGAAGAAGUAUUCUUUUCAUUUCCAAAGUUAAUAUAUCCUAUAAGUGUGUGUGUGUAUAUAUAUAUAUAUAUAUAUUCAAAUUUAGGAACAUGAUUAACUCCCACUAAUCUUUUGUAAACCUAGUAAACAAAAGAUUCAUUUACAUCUUUAUGAGAAAUCAAACGAUUUGAUCUUUCUUUCAUCAGACGCUUAUAGCUCCCACUAGCUUGCUAAGAUUCAUGAUGGAUGGAUCUCUACAACUUACAUGUCUUGUGAUUCAUAGUUUUAGACAUAUAUGUUGGAAAUAUGCCCUGAAAGUCAAUCUUUGGAAGAAACCUUUCAGGACAAAUGAAUCGAUGUAUGGAUGACUCUUAUACAUCAAAUGGCAAAGACACGAAUUAGGACUAUCUCAAUAAACGAUAUAUGUCCUAAAUAGUGUAUCCAUGGACAAUGGAUUGAUUGAAGAAGUAAUCUACUGAUGUUAGACUACAUAGACCUUCUUCACAUAACCAUUAUGUCCAAAAGGUUCCUAGUCAUUGGAUUGUCGGAGGGAAACUGACAAUGCUUAGACCGGUACAUACUGUGUCCGCUUCAAAUGGAAGGAUGGAAAGUCUCAUCCCAUUCGUGUUGUGACACUAAGACAAGUAUGUAGGUGCUCAUUAAGGGAAUGAGUUCACUGAACACAAUCGAACGAGAGUACUUGCAUGGAGGUCUACUCACAUGUCAAGCAAGUAACUCUAAUGGUUGGAAUAAUGUAAGUAGUCCUUUGACUUGAGGCAUCGUCGUUGUCUUGUGGCUAAGUACUUAAUCUUUGAUUAUGUCAAAGUCACCCCAUUCGCGGAUGUCCACGGCAUAAUUGGGGUUAAGCCACUUAGUCAUGAAGGCAAGUGAAUGCGCAACAAGGAAUCUCUAAUCCUCGAUUAGAGAGGAAGAAUACUCUAAGAUAUGAUUCGAGAAUCUUCGGCCGAAGUAUCGAGCGUAAUAAAGGAAAGCGUUCCUAUACGACUCAAAUGAAUCAUAUAAGAAGGAAUAAUCACAUUAGGGGUUUGACAUAAUAUAUCCAUACCCUAGUAAUGUGAUUGAGAGUAUUGUUUUAGAGAAGGAUCGAAUUACAUUGUAAUUCCAACUGAAUAGGUUCUCUGAACAACUUCUACAUUAGCUUGGGUAGCUAUGACAUAUGGUUAGAUGUCACUCAUAGCUUGUGAGUUCUUCUAGAUGAUUAAAUGUAGUCAUCAAAGAAGAAAGGUGAAUUAAAAUGAAGUUUUAAUUCACUAAGUGAUUGGAUUAAAUAUAAUCAAUUGGAUUGAUGUCAAUCACCUCACUGCCUUGCUAAUUAGAACCUAAAAUGAUUGUACACCGAUACACUCUUGUAGUGAGUAAUUAAUGGAUGAUGGAAAUAAUUAAUUGGAUUAAUUAAGUGUUGUGAUUAAUUUAGAAAGUCUAAAGAAAUCAUAAAAAGCGAUAAAAGAUCGUUUUGGGCUUAAAGAAACGUUCGGGUUUAAUUGGGCCCAUUGGGCCUAAACCCAUUGGGCUUUUAUUCAAGCAUUGGAUGACUAGAAAUAUAUAAAAGCCCAAAGCCCAAACCAACACAAAGGGGCCGGCCCUUGCAAGUGGAGAGGGAGAGAUAUUUAGUCAAGUUGUUGACUAGGUUUCUUUUUGUCUAUAUAAGGAACUUUAUAGAGUUUUUAAUCCUUAGGGUUUUUGUGUGUUUUUUAAACAACAAAAAGAGGCAAAAGAAAAUAACUCUCUAAAAAACCACAAAGGCCGGCCACCUAGAGGGUGAAUUUAGCUAACAAUCUUUCACUCCUUUUGGUUAUUCCUCCAUCCAUCUCACUACACUAGUGGGUGUGGAUCUUUAGAGGUCUUCUCCUUUGGAGACUAAAGGAGAACCUUGGAGCACUCUUACUAACAAAGUGGAGGAGGCAAGGAGGGAGGCUAGGCUCAAGGACUUCAAGGAACAAAGGGCUUGGAGGUGGUCCAUCCUUGGUCUCAAGUCUAGAUCGAGAGGUAUAAGACUAAACCUACACCUUGUUCUUUACUAAAAUGUUUUGAUGCAUUAUAUAUAAACCUAUGAACCUUGAAGGGGAUUUGCAUGACUAUAGCUUUGAUAUUAUUUGAUAAAUUGCUUCCGUUGCUCAUGUAUAUAAAUUUUGAAUUGUAUAUGCAUGCUAGUCAUUUAGAAAUCCCAUGUGCUAAACUCAUAAUUUUCCCUUCAAGUGGUAUCAAAGCCAAAGGUUUAUGUAUAAUGUGUCCUUUUGGAUUUUAUGCAUAUGGGUAUUAAUAAUAUGUAUGACAUAAUUAUUGCUUCAUUCAAAAUAUGUUUAUCUUUUGUUUUUCAAUAGUUGAAAAAUGUUAGUCAAUAGUUGAGAAAGAUAUGUAUGCAAAAAAAAAAAUGUUUUGUAUGCAUGAAUGAAAAUUGAGUUUUGAACUAAUUUGACAUAUUAUUUCUUCAUUUAAAGUAUGUUUAUCUUUUGUUUUUCAAUGGUUGAAAAAUAUAAAUCAAGAGUUGAAAAAAGAUAUGCAUGUAAAAGUUGUUUUGUAUGCAUGAAUGAAGAAUAAGUCAUGAACAAAAUUUUGGGGUUUUGUUCUUUGUGGUUGGCACGGUUUUGGGGAUUUUUGGGCAUGUGUUUGUGUUUUAUUGUAAGACACUCACACAUCAUUUUAAAGCUAGAAAGUAGAAACCUUGUCACUUUAGUUUUUGGGUUUGAAAAAUCACCAAGAAUACACAAA